RNAcentral lists this ribosomal RNA (67 nucleotides) under Caldibacillus debilis. RNAcentral describes it as "partial 16S ribosomal RNA". It matches the Rfam family "Bacterial small subunit ribosomal RNA", at positions 1 to 67 of the family's 1533-position model. Lineage: Bacteria; Bacillati; Bacillota; Bacilli; Caryophanales; Bacillaceae. The record is from RNAcentral.
UUGAUGGAGAGUUUGAUCCUGGCUCAGGACGAACGCUGGCGGCGUGCCUAAUACAUGCAAGUCGAGC